Molecule: ribosomal RNA, 497 nt
Filed under: uncultured bacterium
Lineage: Bacteria
Description: partial 16S ribosomal RNA
Rfam family: Bacterial small subunit ribosomal RNA
Source: RNAcentral
GAUGAACGCUGGCGGCGUGCCUAAUACAUGCAAGUCGAGCGAACGGACGAGAAGCUUGCUUCUCUGAUGUUAGCGGCGGACGGGUGAGUAACACGUGGAUAACCUACCUAUAAGACUGGGAUAACUUCGGGAAACCGGAGCUAAUACCGGAUAAUAUUUUGAACCGCAUGGUUCAAAAGUGAAAGACGGUCUUGCUGUCACUUAUAGAUGGAUCCGCGCUGCAUUAGCUAGUUGGUAAGGUAACGGCUUACCAAGGCAACGAUGCAUAGCCGACCUGAGAGGGUGAUAGGCCACACUGGAACUGAGACACGGUCCAGACUCCUACGGGAGGCAGCAGUAGGGAAUCUUCCGCAAUGGGCGAAAGCCUGACGGAGCAACGCCGCGUGAGUGAUGAAGGUCUUCGGAUCGUAAAACUCUGUUAUUAGGGAAGAACAUAUGUGUAAGUAACUGUGCACAGCUUGACGGUACCUAAUCAGAAAGCCACGGCUAACUACGUG